GGGCCACCAUUCGAGCCUUUACAACGAACAUGCAGUAAGAUGAGUCCCAAGCCCUCGGGAGCAAAUGCAGAGCGGGUCUUGCCACAGCUGGGAGCAGGAACUUCCGGACCAUUGGGUUGCUUGUCGUGUAUACGUACAACUUCUCAAUUAAAGACAAUUAUUAAUGUUGACGUGUUUCUGAAUCCAGAGAAAAAAAGCACCUGUGGAGUUCCCAUCGUGGCUCAGAGGAAAUGAAUCUGACUAGCAUCCAUGAGGAUGCAGGUUCGAUCCCUGGCCUCGCUCAGUGGGAGGAUCCAGCAUUGCCGUGAGCUGUGGUGUAGGUGGCAGAUGAGGCUUUGAUUGGCGUUGCCGUGGCUGUGGUGUAGACCAGCAGCUGUGGCUUCAAUUGGAUCCCUAGCCUGUGAACCUCCAUAUGCCAUUGGUGCAGCCCUAAAAAAAAAUAAAAUAAAUUUUUAAAAACUUAAAAAAGUAAAAUAAAGGAGUUCCCAUCGUGGCUCAGUGGUUAACAAAUCCGACUAGGAACCAUGAGGUUGUGGGUUUGAUUCCUGGCCUUGCUCAGUGGGUUGAGGAUCAGGCGUCGCCAUGAGCUGUGGUGUAGGUGGCAGACGCGGCUCGGAUCCCAUGUUGCUGUGGCUCUGGCGUAGGCCCGUGGCUACAGCUCCAAUUAGACCCCUAGCCUGGGAACCUCCAUAUGCCGCGGGAGCGGCUCAAGAAAAGGCAAAAAGACAAAAAAUAAAAUAAAAUAAAAAAGGAUUUUGUGUGGAUUUUUCUGGGGUCUGGGAUGGUUGGAAUCAGGGUGGCAGAGACGGGGCUUUCUUUCUUUUUCUCCCAUGAAUCUGUGAUGUAUACAAGGCCCUUCCCCAGCUGCCGCAUGAGCCCAACUCCAGGUUCUCCCAGGAGUGCAGCGAGGGACCAAAUCCAGUGAGCCCGGCUGCAUCUGAAAUGCUAUGACUUCAACUGGAAAAGGGGAAAAGGAAGAAUAAAGAGCCAAGUGCGAUGCUGGUGGUGACAACGGUGUCUUCGACCCGUUGUUAGGCCUGUGCAUUAUCUCAUGCGACCUCAGUAUAAGUGGAAGGCCCCCGCCUUAGAGAUUCAGAGAAAGGACCUUGGAGUUCAGGGAAGGGACGUGAACUGCCCAAGGUCAUUUGACAGCCAAACUUGGCCUGGGCUUUGAUGGAGCCUCGGCUAGAAAAGUCAACCCCAAUGACCGUUCUGGUUCUGUAAGAAUCAAGGGUUCACUUUACAUGAAUUAACUUAAU
RNAcentral lists this long non-coding RNA (1259 nucleotides) under Sus scrofa (pig). RNAcentral's name for it is "lncRNA (ENSSSCG00005017648.1)". Lineage: Eukaryota; Metazoa; Chordata; Mammalia; Artiodactyla; Suidae. The record is from RNAcentral.